UGUGAAUAAAGGAAUCAGCCUGGUGUGCCCUAACAGCCCCUCCUCAGAGCCAAACUGAAGCCAGCUGAGACUGAAGGAACCAAGAUUUCCCCAGGGAUGUUCAUGCCCAAACCCAGGGAGAGAAAGAAGGGGACGGUGACGUGUAGGGAGAGCAGUGGCCACGGACCCUGCCUACUGUACUGUGAGCACAGCCCAGGAUAUGACUUUGACCCAGACAAGCUCAUGCUCAUCCUGGCAAAACUGAGGCCCACGUCCACAGCAAACCUUUCCCACUGGCUGCAUCUACACCACUGAUGGCUGCAUCUUACUUGGACAGAGGUGGCAUUGCCAGCCCUGAAUAAAUUGGCACCACGGUCACAGAUUUAGCCUGGCUGGAAAAGGAAAGAGCUGCAGCACUCUGUGGGCAGGCAAGAGCUGCACCCCAUGUGGUCCAUGGAUGUCCCAGCCUAAAAUGCCUGAGCACCUAUAAACUGCUUCUACCCCCAUUAAAUUGGUUGUAUUAUAUUGCUGCUAUGUUAUGCUCCUCAUUUUUAAACUAACUUCUAGUCUAAACU
Long non-coding RNA from Calypte anna (Anna's hummingbird), 554 nucleotides. RefSeq lists it as uncharacterized. The transcript has 3 exons. Lineage: Eukaryota; Metazoa; Chordata; Aves; Apodiformes; Trochilidae. The record is from RefSeq and is a predicted model, not a curated record.